Brassica rapa (field mustard) is the source of this 3714-nucleotide RNA transcript. It is a transcript of the gene named protein SMAX1-LIKE 8, with no coding region annotated. The record is from RefSeq and is a predicted model, not a curated record. NCBI's taxonomy places the organism in Eukaryota, Viridiplantae, Streptophyta, Magnoliopsida, Brassicales, Brassicaceae.
AAGGUUAUUAGAUAUACAAACAAAUCUUAAAUAAACAUGAAGAACGAACGUAUUUUAAACUGUAUGUAACUAAAUUUACGUAGAUGGCUAGAUGCCACAACCACAAGUGAUCUUAUAAGAACACCUAAACUUGUAAAACGCCAAAACAAUUUGACCUAAAGAAUCAUAUGUUAUUGAAGAGCGGCAAAAACAUUAUGGUAGUUCAAAUAUUUGUUUAUAUAUAUGGAAACAAAUCUUCGUCAGUUUUCGAAAGCUAAAAUCAUAAUUUUUUCUUACAAAUAGAGUGUUUAAAUACAGUUUUCAAAAUAGUCACAUCGUAUGAGUUACGAGUAGCUGUAUCAAGGAGAUAUUUAUCGUGUGGUAUUUCAUAGAUAUUUGAUAAUAUGUGGUUUAAAUUUAUUUUACAAAAUAACUAGUGACAAAAACAAGAGAAAAAUAUAUUAUUGAUAUUAGAAAAUAAUUUGACUUGAGCACGGGAAUAAAUAAAUAAAAAAGAAUGAUCAAAAGAUAAGCAACAAGAAUCUGAGAAUCUAUUACCAGUCACCACCUGUUCUCCUGUUUCUGUUGGAUUCCAAACUCUCACUUUCACUGCCCCCUCGUGUCUAGGUCCCACCUUUGUGUUCCACUCAACCCAACAGUGUAUCCUCUCUUCUCCCUCCAUAAAUUAAUUUAUUUCUAGUCACAUUUUCUUAUUACCAAACCACAGAAAAAAAACAGAGUAACAAAGAACAGAGUAUCCUCUCUUCGAAAUUUUGAAUUUUAUUAGUGUAUUUAUUAUAUAUGUUUACCGGCGAUGCCAACGGCGGUAAACGUGGCGAAGCAAUGCUUAACGGCGGAAUCAUCCUACGCGCUAGAAGAAGCAGUCAAAGUAGCGCGUCGUCGAGGACACUCUCAAACGACGUCGCUUCACGCCGUCUCCGCUUUACUCUCGCUCCCAACCUCCGUCUUACGCGACGCGUGCGCGCGUGUCCGAAACUCUGCUUGCUCUCCUCGUCUCCAGUUCAAAGCUCUUGAUCUCUGCCUCAGCGUUUCACUAGACCGGAUCCAACCGGGUCAACAACAACAACAACCCGGAUCAGAUGAUCCGCCCGUUUCGAACUCUCUCAUGGCUGCUAUCAAACGCUCUCAGGCUCACCAGCGCCGUCUCCCUGAGAACUUCAGGAUGUACCAAGAGAUGAUGUCGUCUCAGAACCAGAGCUCGAACUCGCUCUCUUGCGUGAGAGUGGAGCUUCGUCAGCUGAUUCUCUCGAUCCUGGAUGAUCCGGUUGUGAGUCGGGUGUUCGGUGAAGCGGGUUUCCGGAGCUCCGAGUUAAAGCUCUCGAUUAUCAGGCCCUUCCCUCACCUUCUCCGUUACUCAUCACGACAACAACAGCCUAUGUUCCUAUGUAACGUAACCGGAAAUUAUACCGAACCGGAAUUGAACCCGGUUCGAUGGGGUUAUAACGUACCGAACCGGAAUCUCGCGGGAGAUUCUGAUCACCGGAGGAUCAGCGCGGUUUUCACGAGGGACAAAGGGAGGAACCCUCUGCUUGUGGGUGAAUCGGCUCACAGUGUCUUAACCGGUUUCUUAAGUUCGCUGGAGAACCGAACCGACGGUUUAAGCACGGUUAGCCUCAGUACAGAAAUUUCGGACCAAGUCAACGUCAAGUUCGAUAAAACCUACACGGACGCGAGGUUUCGCGAACUGGAGAAGGUGGCUGAGAAAGGUUCAGGACCUGGCUUAGUCUUGAGCUACGGAGACCUGAGGGUUUUCAUAGACGGCGAUGGGAACGGGUCGGCGGCGAGUUACAUCGUGAGUCGUGUUGCUGAGCUGUUACGGAGAUCAGGGAGGAGAGUGUGGUUGAUCGGAGCGGCGACGAGCAACGACGUUUACGAGAAGAUGAUGAAGAAGUUUCCGAACAUGGAGAAAGAUUGGGAUCUGCAGUUACUCACCAUCACUACAACUACUCUUAGGUCUUGUCUGCCUCACCACAAGUUCAGUUUGAUGGGAUCUUUUGUUCCAUUUGGUGGAUUCUUCUCAACUCCUUCUGACCUAAAACUACCCUUCUCCGGUUUCAACAAAGAAACCACCGAACCGGUUUCUUCAAUAUCCGAUCAGACCCAAUCUAUCUUGCCACCUUGGUUGCAGAUGACCACAAGAACCGACUUAAACCAAAUAUCUGGUUCCAAGAUUCCCUCAAUGCAGACCACAGAAGGGUUGGAGUCAGUUUGUGGAACUAAGUCGACGAUCAGUGCUUCUGCUUCGACCGGUUCAGCUAAAUCGAUCACGACUGAUCUAAAUGCGAAGAUGUGUCCGGUCACCACAGGAUUUGGUCUCAAUAAUUAUUUGGAUGACAAAGAUGUUGCUCAUCCACGAUCUUCAUCAAGGGAUCUCAACGUAGAGAGCUUCAAGAUUAUAUACCAAAGACUAACCGAUAGGGUUUCAUGGCAAGAUGAAGCUGCUAGAGUUAUCAGCUCCGCAUUGUCACAACCGCCUAGGGUUACCACUAGAAGAGACGUUUGGCUCCAUUUGGUUGGCCCUGAUACCGUAGGCAAGAGGAGAAUGUCGCUUGUGCUUGCUGAGAUUAUGUACCAAAGUGAGCACAGAUUCAUGCCCGUUGAUCUUGGUGUUACGUGUGAUGAUGUGAUGCGGCAGAGAGGAAAGACAAUGGUGGAUCAUAUCUUUGAGGUGUUGUGUAGGAACCCUUUCUGUGUAGUGUUCCUUGAGAACAUUGACAAAGCGGACGAGAAGCUUCAGAUGAGCUUGUUGAAGGCUAUUGAAACGGGAAAGUUUAUGGAUUCUCAUGGGAGAGAAGUCGGAAUAGGAAACACCACGUUUGUUAUGACGUCAUCUUCAGUAGAUGAUUCUGGAACAAUAGCCACUUAUUCUGAAGAGAAACUCUUGAGAGCAAAGGGAAGGCAAGUGGAGGUAUGGAUUGAAACUGUGUCCAUGUUACCAAAUGUGAGAACGGUUUCUAGGCUUAGAUCGGUGAAAAAGAGGAAGAUGAUAGGCUUGAGGGAUACUCAGGACAAGAAUGAGAUUCUAGAAACGGGAAAGCAGGUGAACAGAACAAGUAAUGGAGUUCUUGAUCUGAACCUUCCGGCCCAAGAAACCGAAACCGAAGAUUGUGAAGACCACUCAAAGCUUUGGUUAGUGAACUUGAAGAAACAUGACCGUCUCACUGAGGUUCCUUUUAAGCCUUUCGACUUUGAAGAGUUAGCAGAAAGGAUAAAAAAGAGCGUAAAAGAAAUUUUUGAAAAGUGCGUGGGAUCAUCAGAUUGUUCGCUGGAAAUUGAUCCUAAGAUCAUGGAAAGAUUACUAGCGGCUGUUUAUUUCUCUGACAGUAGAAAAUAUAUCAUCAAAGAGUUGAUGGAGAAAGUAAUGGCUCGAGUGUUCUUGCAUGUUAAAGAAAGGUAUGAAAUCACUUCUUGUUCGGUAGUAAAACUACUUGGUCGAGAUCUUGACGUUUUGGGUGAGGAUGAAAUGGAUUUGUUCCUUGUAAAAUCUCAGUAGGAUAAAAGGUAGUUGUGAAGUUUAUUUGGAAAGUGUAUAAGAUAAGGUAGAGUUGGUUAUAGGUAUUAUUGUCAUUAUGUCUUGCUAUACUAUUAAAAUGUGUGUUAUGAUGUAUCAUAUAGUUGUGAGUGGGUCGACUCGUGUCCUUGUUUGUAUGUACAAGUUUCUGUAAAUUAAUAGUUGCUUUCAUAUAUGUUUCAAACCAAUAGAGCUUUUAAAAA